This 460-nucleotide ribosomal RNA is filed under the name uncultured bacterium. RNAcentral describes it as "partial 16S ribosomal RNA". It matches the Rfam family "Bacterial small subunit ribosomal RNA", at positions 338 to 795 of the family's 1533-position model. The record is from RNAcentral.
CCUACGGGUGGCAGCAGUGAGGAAUAUUGGUCAAUGGGCGAGAGCCUGAACCAGCCAAGUCGCGUGAAGGAUGACGGCCCUACGGGUUGUAAACUUCUUUUGUCAGGGAGCAAUUGGGUCCACGCGUGGGCUUAGCUAGAGUACCUGAAAAAAAAGCAUCGGCUAAGUCCGGCCCAGCAGCCGCGGUAAUACGGAGGAUGCGAGCGUUAUCCGGUUUUAUUGGGUUUAAGGGGUGCGUAGGCGGAAUAUCAAGUCAGCGGUAAAAAUUCGGGGCUCAACCCCGUCGUGCCGUUGAAACUGAUGUUCUUGAGUGGGCGAGAAGUAUGCGGAAUGCGUGGUGUAGCGGUGAAAUGCAUAGAUAUCACGCAGAACUCCGAUUGCGAAGGCAGCAUACCGGCGCCCAACUGACGCUGAAGCACGAAAGCGCGGGUAUCGAACAGGAUUAGAUACCCCAGUAGUC